Molecule: ribosomal RNA, 254 nt
Filed under: uncultured bacterium
Lineage: Bacteria
Description: partial 16S ribosomal RNA
Rfam family: Bacterial small subunit ribosomal RNA
Source: RNAcentral
UACGUAGGGUGCGAGCGUUAAUCGGAAUUACUGGGCGUAAAGCGUGCGCAGGCGGUCUGUUAAGACCGAUGUGAAAUCCCCGGGCUUAACCUGGGAACUGCAUUGGUGACUGGCAGGCUUUGAGUGUGGCAGAGGGGGGUAGAAUUCCACGUGUAGCAGUGAAAUGCGUAGAGAUGUGGAGGAAUACCGAUGGCGAAGGCAGCCCCCUGGGCCAACACUGACGCUCAUGCACGAAAGCGUGGGGGGCAAACAGG